AGAGAGCUAGGGACACGCGAAAUACGUAACCCCUUCCCCAUUUUCCAUUUUCUUCUACACAUAAAUAUACACACAUGCCAUCCCUAUUUUCUUCGAGCUUUUUUAGACAUAAAAACAGAUGGAAUACCUAUUUUUUAGGGUGGGGGUGCUUCGAUUUGUCUACUCCUUCGGAAAUCAACAACCAGGGAGCUCACAUCUCACUCAGCUUCCAUGGCCUUCCAUCAACACUUCCCUUCACCAGGCCAACUGACCCUCCCUAUAUUUCCCGUCACAUACAUCUAAAACCGCUAAGAUAAAGGGCCAAAAUCUCGACAAAAAAAUGAGAUUCAGAAGCUAAAAAGGGGCAGAGAAAACGAGAUGUGAAAACGAAAGGGAAAAUAGAAGAUUUCAAGUGGUUUUAUUUUGAAAAAAUGACUCAAAAGGCUGGAGUUGUUUUUCUUUGGUUGAUUUGAAAGAGUUCUCCAUUCUGGGUUUGCAUGUCUAGAAUGAAUUCAUGAUUUGCUCGCUGCUGGUGAUUGCUGAGUGUUGCUGGGCUACAAUUGAGCUCCAUUGGUGCUUAUCCAACUUUUGUUGGAUUCAAUCAAGUCUUUGCUUUUAAAUAUAGGUACGUACAUGUAAAACUACACUUGUGUUGUUGGAAUAAUUGGAAUUUGUUCAAGUCAUUUCCGUUCCUUGUUGUGCUGCUAUACGAUUCCUAUGGUUUGAGUUUAUUACUUCGAUUUUGAUUACUCGGCCAUUUUGAAAUAGCAAGUUUCUUUAGGCUCAAUAUCAUGAGCGAUGGUUUUCGAUUUAAUUUAGCUUUUCUUUUGUCAAAGUUUGCUCACUACAGUCAUGUUAAUUUGUGAGUUUACUGAAAAUUGCAGCAAUAGUUUGGUGUUGAAUGAUGUGUGGAAUGUCCUUUGCUGAAAUUUAUGUCACAUUCUUAUACGAUUUUGGGUUUGGCUAUUUGGAUUUUACUCAUUCCUAUUGAUUAACUAGAAUAGGUUUGCUGAAUGUGUAAAGUUAUUAUCAUGAAUUUGUUUAGGGCAAUAGCGUGUUUUAAAAUUGUUGAUAUGAAAAGUAGAAAAUGCAAUAUUAUGUUACUUGAAUUUUUCGAACUUGAGUAGUCCGUUAGGAUAAAUUUCUUUAGUUUAACUUUGAGCUCAACUUUUGCUUUGGCAUAAAAUACCAUCCUUCUCUGAUGUAUUUGUUAAACUUCAUGUUUUGUAUCCUUUCCAUUCUGAUAUUUUGCUGAAGCAUAUACCACAGUGAAGAAGACAACCUGAUUGUGGCCCAUCUUAUUAAUUUCCAUCUUAUGAAUGGCAGAUGCCGAAGCACGCCAGAGGCGAGCGCUGCCUACCACAAUCAAGGAGACGACGUUCCACGAGCGUAUCAAAAGCCCGGGUUUUGGCUGCCCCCUCAAUCCACGCUGGUCCACGCCCCGAGUCGAUCGGCGGACCGGCUCAACACCGUUCCACAUCCGNN
RNAcentral lists this long non-coding RNA (1464 nucleotides) under Nicotiana benthamiana. RNAcentral describes it as "long non-coding RNA (NBEN_LNC013572)". Lineage: Eukaryota; Viridiplantae; Streptophyta; Magnoliopsida; Solanales; Solanaceae. The record is from RNAcentral.